CAGAGGGUGCGAGCGUUGUCCGGAAUCACUGGGCGUAAAGGGCGCGUAGGUGGCGCUCCAAGUCUGUGGUGAAAGCUCGAUGCUCAACAUCGAGUCGGCCACGGAGACUGGAGGGCUCGAGCACUGUAGGGGCAGAUGGAAUUCCGGGUGUAGCGGUGGAAUGCGUAGAGAUCCGGAAGAACACCGGUGGCGAAGGCGGUCUGCUGGGCAGUUGCUGACACUGAGGCGCGACAGCGUGGGGAGCAAACAGGAUUAGAUACCCUGGUAGUCCACGCCGUAAACGAUGGGCACUAGAUGCUUGGGGGAGCGACCCCCUGAGUGUCGUCGCUAACGCAGUAAGUGCCCCGCCUGGGGAGUACGGCCGCAAGGCUG
This 372-nucleotide ribosomal RNA is filed under the name uncultured organism. RNAcentral describes it as "bacterial SSU rRNA". It matches the Rfam family "Bacterial small subunit ribosomal RNA", at positions 526 to 896 of the family's 1533-position model. The record is from RNAcentral.